RNAcentral lists this ribosomal RNA (929 nucleotides) under uncultured Methanoregula sp. RNAcentral describes it as "bacterial SSU rRNA". It matches the Rfam family "Archaeal small subunit ribosomal RNA", at positions 1 to 929 of the family's 1478-position model. The record is from RNAcentral. Lineage: Archaea; Methanobacteriati; Methanobacteriota; Methanomicrobia; Methanomicrobiales; Methanoregulaceae.
UUUCCCGCGCUUGUGUAGGACUGCCGAAGGCUACUGCGAAGGGGAGGUCGAUUAGCCAUGCGAGUCUAGGGAUCUUCGGAUCCUGGCGUAAUGCUCAGUAACACGUGGAUAAUCUACCCUCAGGUGGGGCAUAAACCCGGGAAACUGGGGCCAAUUCCCCAUAAAUACAGAUGGCUGGAAUGCUUCUGUAUUCAAAGCUCCGGCGCCUGAGGAUGAGUCUGCGGCCUAUCAGGUUGUAGUCAGGGUCAAGACCUGACUAGCCAGCGACGGGUAUGGGGUGUGAGAGCACUUGCCCAGAGAUGGUUUCUGAGACACGAAACCAGGCCCUACGGGGCGCAGCAGGCGCGAAAACUUCGCAAUGCGGGAAGCCGUGACGAGGGAACUCCGAGUGUCUAUGCAUUGCAUAGACUGUUUUUUAGCCUAAAUAGCUAUUAGAGUAAGGGGUGGGCAAGACCGGUGCCAGCCGCCGCGGUAACACCGGCACCCCGAGUGGUAGCCACUAUUAUUGGGCCUAAAGCGUUCGUAACCGGUUUGGUAAAUUCUUGGGUAAAUCGUACCGCUCAACGGUGCGGAUUCCGGGGACACUACCAGACUUGAGACCGGGGGAGAUCAGAGGUACUUGCGGGGGAGCGGUGAAAUGUUGUAAUCCCGCAGGGACCACCAGUGGCGAAGGCGUCUGAUCAGAACGGCUCUGACGGUGAGGAACGAAACCCUGGGGCGCAAACGGGAUUAGAUACCCCGGUAGUCCAGGGCGUAACGCUGCUGACUUGGUGUUGGGGAUCCUACGAGGAUGUCCAGUGCUGGCGCGAAGGUAUUAAGUCAGCCGCCUGGGGAGUACGGUCGCAAGACUGAAACUUAGAGAAUGGCGGAGAGCACUGCAACGAGGCGGAGCGUGCGGGUUUAAUUUGGAAUCCAAACCGGCCAGGAGA